UUCUGGACAAGGAAAACUCUCUUUUAAGGAGUGAAUGGGAGACAAUUGAGUGCGAGCUCAAAAACCGAAAUUAGCAUGAUUUCGUGAACAAGAAUAUCUUCAGAUAUGUGAGAUAAUUAACUUGUUCACUGUAAUAUCGUAUAGCUUAGAAAUAGACACAUUGCGUACUUUCGAGGAAAAUAGGCAGGUUUCUCGACCCAUACCCUGACUUUGAGAAGGGAUUGCGUGAUGGCUGAUGAAGAGCGAGGCCCAACUCUGCGGGAAAUCUGUCUCCCUCCAGCAGGAGCUACAGCAUGCAGGGAUUGUUUGUACAGGCACUUGCCCUGAGACAGUUGCUAAGGUGGAGUACCCACAAGCUGCUGAACCCUGGACACAGACUUUUACUGGACACUACACACUCGCCAGCUGUGUUCCUCCAUGACCAUUGGGACACAAAAGCUCCCUACACGCUGGAGUUCAGCUAAGACCUGGUCAGGUCUUCAUCAAGUGAGGUUCAAACGCGGCAAAAAAGGAGGCGCCAAGGCUGUACAGGAUGAGGAGGAAGAUGAUGGAAAGGAUCCUGAGCACAGUGACUAUGAGGAUGAACCUGAGGAUGACUCCCCAGUGUACCCAAAGACUACAAAGACAUGGAGAAAUAUGUGCAGUCCUUUCAUUAUGUUAUCAUGAAAGUUGGCCUUGAUAUAGCACGCAAGUGGGUGGUUACAGAGUUAUGUCUUUAGAUUUUCAAUGGGAUGCACUCAAGGAGAAAAACAAUGGGUAAUGGUAUCAGUAUUUGGCAUCAAUAUCUGCAACAAUUUGAGGGGAUCCAUAUGGGUCGAAUUUGAGCACCUCUCCUUAAAGCUUGGUCAUUCAGGUCUUGAAAUCACAUUUACAAUUUUGCUCACGGGUGAAUGAAGAGAUGAGGUCAAAUGAAUUGAUUGAUAUGGAAUAGAAUUGCCCUACUAUUUAAAAGGCUCUAGGACUA
Oncorhynchus gorbuscha (pink salmon) is the source of this 964-nucleotide long non-coding RNA. RefSeq lists it as uncharacterized. NCBI's taxonomy places the organism in Eukaryota, Metazoa, Chordata, Actinopteri, Salmoniformes, Salmonidae. The transcript has 2 exons. The record is from RefSeq and is a predicted model, not a curated record.